RNAcentral lists this ribosomal RNA (200 nucleotides) under uncultured bacterium. RNAcentral's name for it is "partial 16S ribosomal RNA". It matches the Rfam family "Bacterial small subunit ribosomal RNA", at positions 8 to 204 of the family's 1533-position model. The record is from RNAcentral.
AGAGUUUGAUCCUGGCUCAGGAUGAACGCUAGCGGCAGGCUUAACACAUGCAAGUCGAGGGGCAGCAUAGUAGCAAUACUGAUGGCGACCGGCAAACGGGUGCGGAACACGUACACAACUUACCCUCAUCUGGGGCAUAGCCCGUUGAAAAGCGGAUUAACUCCCCAUAGUAUUAUUGGUCGGCAUCGAUUGGUAAUUAA